AAAUUGAAGAGUUUGAUCAUGGCUCAGAUUGAACGCUGGCGGCAGGCCUAACACAUGCAAGUCGAACGGUAACAGGAAUCAGCUUGCUGAUUUGCUGACGAGUGGCGGACGGGUGAGUAAUGUCUGGGAAACUGCCUGAUGGAGGGGGAUAACUACUGGAAACGGUAGCUAAUACCGCAUAAUGUCGCAAGACCAAAGAGGGGGACCUU
This 209-nucleotide ribosomal RNA is filed under the name Escherichia coli. Its description in RNAcentral is "partial 16S ribosomal RNA". It matches the Rfam family "Bacterial small subunit ribosomal RNA", at positions 1 to 216 of the family's 1533-position model. Lineage: Bacteria; Pseudomonadati; Pseudomonadota; Gammaproteobacteria; Enterobacterales; Enterobacteriaceae. RNAcentral also lists the same sequence under 1 other name. The record is from RNAcentral.